Long non-coding RNA from Helianthus annuus (common sunflower), 254 nucleotides. RefSeq lists it as uncharacterized. Lineage: Eukaryota; Viridiplantae; Streptophyta; Magnoliopsida; Asterales; Asteraceae. The transcript has 3 exons. The record is from RefSeq and is a predicted model, not a curated record.
UUAACGAUUUGAAUCCUGCUAAGGAUAUGUGGAACAUGAAGGCGAGAAUUAUACGAAAAUGGAAUCAGGGUUACAAAAUGGAGAUCAUCUUCAUUGAUGAGAAGGGUGCUAAGAUUCAAGGAGGUAUUAAGAGUCAUCUGAUACCUGUUUUUGAUGGGCAGCUGCAAGAAGAUGCUGUUGUGAUUCUUUCGAAGUUUGGUGUUGAGCUUAUGAAGAUAUUCUUCAAGGAGAGGCGUUAAACGCUUUGAGUGUUG